UUCAUUCAACUAACUUAUCAUGAAAUCGCCCCACUGAUUUUUGACUCUAACUGAAAGUAAUCUUGUUCCUGAAAUUCCAGGAACAAUUUGAUUGAGAUCAUUGUCCCAAGAAUAAAUGGCCUGAAAUGUCUACUAGACACUCCUGAUGAAAGAUAAGUGGAAUGAAACCAACUCUGCCUUCUGCCUGAUCAGCGUUUGCCUGAAAUGCAAAUCUCCUCUGUUGCAUGUGGCUAGAAACUACUGAUAAAUUAGCUACAAAGUAAGUUUUUCUUUCCUUGUUCUUAGGAAUUCACAGGAACACUCCCGUUUAUUUGGAGCCCUUAUUUUACAUGUUGUUUCUUCUUAGCCUCUUCUUUUGCAUGUUCUUUAAUGGCACAACUAUAAUUAUUCACCACCCUAUACCACCACCAAAUAAAAUGUUCCUCAACGUUC
This is a non-coding RNA of Lonchura striata (white-rumped munia), 432 nucleotides long. NCBI's taxonomy places the organism in Eukaryota, Metazoa, Chordata, Aves, Passeriformes, Estrildidae. The record is from RefSeq and is a predicted model, not a curated record.